GUAGGGAAUCUUCCACAAUGGACGCAAGUCUGAUGGAGCAACGCCGCGUGAGUGAAGAAGGCUUUCGGGUCGUAAAACUCUGUUAUUGAAGAAGAACGUGCGUGACAGUAACUGGUCAUGCAGUGACGGUAUUCAAUCAGAAAGUCGCGGCUAACUACGUGCCAGCAGCCGCGGUAAUACGUAGGUGGCAAGCGUUGUCCGGAUUUAUUGGGCGUAAAGCGAGUGCAGGCGGUCUUUUAAGUCUGAUGUGAAAGCCUUCGGCUUAACCGAAGAAGGGCAUCGGAAACUGGGAGACUUGAGUGCAGAAGAGG
This 311-nucleotide ribosomal RNA is filed under the name uncultured bacterium. RNAcentral describes it as "partial 16S ribosomal RNA". It matches the Rfam family "Bacterial small subunit ribosomal RNA", at positions 354 to 657 of the family's 1533-position model. The record is from RNAcentral.